GGGGUCUUACUUUGUCUGAGAGUUUCUUCGAUCCCUCCUUCUUCCUGAGAGUUCCAUUCUUCUCCAGCAUCCUUCUCGACCUUAGGCAUCCUUCGAGUCGUCCCUAUCUUUGCAUCUCUACAUCCCUCGGACCAGCCUAGGUUAGUUCCAGAACUCCCUCUUUUUUUUUUCUUGUUGUUCUUCUUUCAUUUUUUCUCCUUUACAUUUUGCCUGUUCAGUUUUCCACGAGCAUCCC
RNAcentral lists this long non-coding RNA (235 nucleotides) under Elaeis guineensis (African oil palm). Its description in RNAcentral is "long non-coding RNA (EGUI_LNC041363)". The record is from RNAcentral. Lineage: Eukaryota; Viridiplantae; Streptophyta; Magnoliopsida; Arecales; Arecaceae.